RNAcentral lists this ribosomal RNA (497 nucleotides) under uncultured bacterium. Its description in RNAcentral is "partial 16S ribosomal RNA". It matches the Rfam family "Bacterial small subunit ribosomal RNA", at positions 28 to 507 of the family's 1533-position model. The record is from RNAcentral.
GAUGAACGCUGGCGGCGUGCCUAAUACAUGCAAGUCGAGCGAACAGAUAAGGAGCUUGCUCCUUUGACGUUAGCGGCGGACGGGUGAGUAACACGUGGGUAACCUACCUAUAAGACUGGAAUAACUCCGGGAAACCGGGGCUAAUGCAGGAUAACAUGUUGAACCGCAUGGUUCUACAGUGAAAGGCGGCUUUGCUGUCACUUAUAGAUGGACCCGCGCCGUAUUAGCUAGUUGGUGGGGUAACGGCUCACCAAGGCAACGAUACGUAGCCGACCUGAGAGGGUGAUCGGCCACACUGGAACUGAGACACGGUCCAGACUCCUACGGGAGGCAGCAGUAGGGAAUCUUCCGCAAUGGGCGAAAGCCUGACGGAGCAACGCCGCGUGAGUGAUGAAGGUCUUCGGAUCGUAAAACUCUGUUAUUAGGGAAGAACAAAUGCGUAAGUAACUGUGCGCGUCUUGACGGUACCUAAUCAGAAAGCCACGGCUAACUACGUG